CGCUGGUCUGAGUGCAGUGGUGUUUACAACGAAUUGAUCACAACCAGUUACAGAUUCCUUUGCUCCCUCUCCACUCCCACUGCUUCACUUGACUAGCUUUUU
Unclassified non-coding RNA from Microcebus murinus (gray mouse lemur), 102 nucleotides. It matches the Rfam family "Y RNA". Rfam says of the family: Y RNAs are components of the Ro ribonucleoprotein particle (Ro RNP), in association with Ro60 and La proteins. The Y RNAs and Ro60 and La proteins are well conserved, but the function of the Ro RNP is not known. The record is from Ensembl. Lineage: Eukaryota; Metazoa; Chordata; Mammalia; Primates; Cheirogaleidae.